UACGUAGGGUGCGAGCGUUGUCCGGAAUUAUUGGGCGUAAAGGGCUCGUAGGCGGUCUGUCGCGUCAGGAGUGAAAACUCGGGGCUCAACCCCGAGCCUGCUUCUGAUACGGGCAGACUGGAGGUAUGCAGGGGAGAACGGAAUUCCUGGUGUAGCGGUGAAAUGCGCAGAUAUCAGGAGGAACACCGGUGGCGAAGGCGGUUCUCUGGGCCGAUACUGACACUGAGGAGCGAAAGCGUGGGGAGCGAACAGG
Molecule: ribosomal RNA, 253 nt
Filed under: uncultured bacterium
Lineage: Bacteria
Description: partial 16S ribosomal RNA
Rfam family: Bacterial small subunit ribosomal RNA
Source: RNAcentral